RNAcentral lists this transfer RNA (82 nucleotides) under Blastocatellia bacterium. RNAcentral describes it as "tRNA-Leu". It matches the Rfam family "tRNA". From Rfam's summary of the family: Transfer RNA (tRNA) molecules are approximately 80 nucleotides in length. Their secondary structure includes four short double-helical elements and three loops (D, anti-codon, and T loops). RNAcentral also lists the same sequence under 3 other names. The record is from RNAcentral. Lineage: Bacteria; Pseudomonadati; Acidobacteriota; Blastocatellia.
GCUCGGAUGGCGGAACUGGUAGACGCGCACGUUUGAGGGGCGUGUGGGGCAACCCGUGCGAGUUCGAUUCUCGCUCCGAGCA